ACCCGCACAAGCGGUGGAUGAUGUGGAUUAAUCGAUGCAACGCGAAAACCUUACCUACCCUUGACAUGUCCGGAAUCCCGAAGAGAUUUGGGAGUGCUCGCAAGAGAGCCGGAACACAGGUGCUGCAUGGCUGUCGUCAGCUCGUGUCGUGAGAUGUUGGGUUAAGUCCCGCAACGAGCGCAACCCUUGUCAUUAGUUGCCAUCAUUUGGUUGGGCACUCUAAUGAGACUGCCGGUGACAAAACCCGGAGGAAAGGUGGGGAUGACGUCAAGUCCUCAUGGCCCUUAUGGGUAGGGCUUCACACGUCAUACAAUGGUCGGUACAGAGGGUUGCCAACCCGCGAGGGGGAGCUAAUCCCACAAAGCCGAUCGUAGUCCGGAUCGCAGUCUGCAACUCGACUGCGUGAAGUCGGAAUCGCUAGUAAUCGUGGAUCAGCAUGUCACGGUGAAUACGUUCCCGGGUCUU
This 465-nucleotide ribosomal RNA is filed under the name uncultured Rhodocyclaceae bacterium. Its description in RNAcentral is "bacterial SSU rRNA". It matches the Rfam family "Bacterial small subunit ribosomal RNA", at positions 919 to 1382 of the family's 1533-position model. The record is from RNAcentral. Lineage: Bacteria; Pseudomonadati; Pseudomonadota; Betaproteobacteria; Rhodocyclales; Rhodocyclaceae.